Molecule: long non-coding RNA, 1677 nt
Filed under: Chrysolophus pictus (golden pheasant)
Lineage: Eukaryota; Metazoa; Chordata; Aves; Galliformes; Phasianidae
Description: lncRNA (ENSCPIG00010002907.1)
Source: RNAcentral
CCUCCACACUCUCCACAGUCAAAACCAGUCCAGUGCUGUCAUUAGCAUCUUCCACUUCCUCAACUGUGUCCUCCACAUCGCAUCCCACCUCCACCCAGAAAAUGACAACUGUGCCACACAUUGUGCUGCCAGUCACCACAGAGAAGACUACUCUCACUGUGUCUGCCACCAGCACCACCACAACCUCUGUCUCCAGCGAGGCCAGUCCCACCAGCAGCCCAGAAGUCCCACUGACAACGACAUCCCCCGCCCCCAGCAGCACUCUCAGCACAAGACUGCCAUCUGCUGCUCCGUCCACACUCUCCUCCACACCGAAGAUCAGGCCUACAACCCUGAGGCCUGAGUCUUCAUCCAUGACAACCAGUGCUCCAGCAGAGUCGCCUACACCUGCAUCCUCCACAACCUCCACAGCCAAAACCAGCCUGCUGUCAUUGUCUCCGUCUUCCUUCUCUACUGUGUCCUCAACAGCAGUGAGCACAUCAUAUCCCACAACAACCCACAAAGUGACAACUGUGCUGCACAUGGUGCCAUAUAUCACCACAGAGAAGACCACUCCCACCAUGUCUUCUGUCAGUACCUCCAAGAUCUCCAUCUCCAGUGAAGCCAGCCCCACUAGCACCCCAGAAAUCCCACUGACAACAACAUCCCCUGCCCCUAGCAGCACUCUCAGCACCAGACUGCCAACUCCUGCCCCAUCUACACUCUUAUCCACCUCGCCCUUAACCUCCGCUCCAAAGCCCACACCUCCAACACUGAGGCUCAAGCCCUCUUCCCUGACAACCAGUGCUCCAGCAGAGUCACCUACAACUGCAUUCUCCACACUCUCCACAGCGAAAACCAGCCUGCUGCCAUCAUCUGUUUCUUCCCUCUUCUCAACUGUAUCCUCAACAGCACUAAGCACGUUGCUUCCUGCAACCUCCACCCACAAAACAACUGUGGUGCACGUGGUGCCAUAUAUCAUCACGGAGAUGACCACCCCCACUAUGUCUUCCAUCAGCACCUCCAAGACCUCCAUCUCCAGUGAGGCCAGCCCCACCAGCAGCUCAGGAUUCCCACUGACAACAACAUCCCCUGCCCUCAGCAGCACUCUCAGCACUAAGCUGCCAUCUGCUGCUCCGUCCACACACUCUACCUCACUCCCAACCUCCACACCAAAGCCCAUGCCUACGACCCUAAGGCCCAAGCCUUCUUCCCCGACAACCAGUGCUCCAACAGAGACACCUUUACCUGUCUUCUCAACACCCUCCACAGCCAAAACCAGCCCGCUGCCAUCAUCUGCAUCUUUUCCCUUUUCAACCGCGUCUUCGACAGCACUGAGCACAUUACAACCCUGUAAGUCUGCACUUAGUUCUUCCUACUGCUCUGCCUGCUCUUCCCAGUUCUCACCUCUGUUUCCUACCUCGCAGCACAAGCCAUGCAGUGUUCACCCUCCAUGUUGUUAUCACCCUCCUUACCUUCUGCAUUUGUCAUUUCAUUUCUGGGAUGUAUAUUGAGGUUCUGGGAGCAUGCUCUGGUUUGAGUUGGGGUGGAACUUCUUUUCCUCCUAGGAGCAGCUAGCCUGAUGCUCUGCUUUGUGAUCAUCAGUGCCGGGAAUAUAGCAGUGCUUUAGCUGUUUCUGAGGCAUGCUUCACAGCACUGAGGCAUGCUCCAUAUCUUAUUGGCCACAUGCAUGUCCUA